This 447-nucleotide long non-coding RNA is filed under the name Mustela putorius furo (domestic ferret). RNAcentral describes it as "lncRNA (ENSMPUG00000023946.1)". The record is from RNAcentral. Lineage: Eukaryota; Metazoa; Chordata; Mammalia; Carnivora; Mustelidae.
GCCGCUCUCUAGUCCCCUAAAUUCCAAACAUUCUGCGAUUACUGAGUGCAAGCCCAGGCUAGAGUGCCUACCUCCGACCUCAUUAAAGAUACGGAACCCAGGCAAGAGUCCUGCCUCUCCAAGGUGCCCCGUCCUGCAGUGGACACAUGUGCAGAGCACUUCAAAUGCAAAAAGAACCCAGCAGAAUGGUGGGCAAAGAGCAGAAACUAUAAGGGGACAAUGGAAGGGCUGGGAGAGUAUGACACCGUCCUGGCCGUGGCGGGGCAGAAAGAAGGGAAACGGAUUUGCAAAUACUGUCAUGCGUGAAGUGAAGGCCCAGCGAUGGCGUGGUGCUGCUUCACUGUGGUUCAGGGUGGUGGCAGUUGGGGGACACUUCGUUCUACAAGCAAAGAUUUCACGGCUGCAGGACACCCUCAUCCGUUACAUUAUUUUCACAUGAUUGACCAU